UACGAAGGGUGCAAGCGUUAUUCGGAAUCACUGGGCGUAAAGGGUGCGUAGACGGUUUGUUAAGUUUGUCGUUAAAGACUCUAGCCUAACUGGAGGGUUGCGAUGAAAACUGGCGGACUAGAGGGUGAGAGAGAGAAGUGGAAUUCCUGGAGUAGCGGUAAAAUGCGUGGAUCUCAGGAGGAACACCAAUGGCGAAGGCAGCUUCUUGGCUCAUUCCUGACGUUGAGGCACGAAAGCGUGGGGAGCGAACAGG
This 253-nucleotide ribosomal RNA is filed under the name uncultured bacterium. Its description in RNAcentral is "partial 16S ribosomal RNA". It matches the Rfam family "Bacterial small subunit ribosomal RNA", at positions 524 to 776 of the family's 1533-position model. The record is from RNAcentral.